This 449-nucleotide ribosomal RNA is filed under the name uncultured bacterium. RNAcentral describes it as "partial 16S ribosomal RNA". It matches the Rfam family "Bacterial small subunit ribosomal RNA", at positions 29 to 523 of the family's 1533-position model. The record is from RNAcentral.
AACGAACGCUGGCGGCAGGCUUAACACAUGCAAGUCGAACAAGAUCUUCGGAUCUAGUGGCAGACGGGUGAGGAACACGUGGGAACAUCCCUUUCAGUUCGGAAUAACGUUGGGAAACUAACGCUAAUACCGGAUACGUCCUUCGGGAGAAAGAUUUAUCGCUGAAAGAUUGGCCCGCGUCUGAUUAGCUAGUUGGUGAGGUAAUGGCUCACCAAGGCUACGAUCAGUAGCUGAUCUGAGAGGAUGAUCAGCCACAUUGGGACUGAGACACGGCCCAAACUCCUACGGGAGGCAGCAGUGGGGAAUAUUGGACAAUGGGCGCAAGCCUGAUCCAGCCAUGCCGCGUGAGUGAUGACGGCCUUCGGGUUGUAAAGCUCUUUUGUCCGGGAAGAUAAUGACUGUACCGGAAGAAUAAGCCCCGGCAAACUUCGCGCCAGCAGCCGCCGUAA